This 305-nucleotide ribosomal RNA is filed under the name uncultured bacterium. RNAcentral's name for it is "bacterial SSU rRNA". It matches the Rfam family "Bacterial small subunit ribosomal RNA", at positions 337 to 659 of the family's 1533-position model. The record is from RNAcentral.
CCCUACGGGGGGCAGCAGUGGGGAAUAUUGCACAAUGGGGGAAACCCUGAUGCAGCGACGCCGCGUGAGUGAAGAAGUAUUUCGGUACGUAAAGCUCUAUCAGCAGGGAAGAAAAUGACGGUACCUGACUAAGAAGCCCCGGCUAACUACGUGCCAGCAGCCGCGGUAAUACGUAGGGGGCAAGCGUUAUCCGGAUUUACUGGGUGUAAAGGGAGCGCAGGCGGCUUGGCAAGUCUGAUGUGAAAGGCUGGGGCUCAACCCCAGGACUGCAUUGGAAACUGUUAGGCUGGAGUGUCGGAGAGGUA